CAGUCGCCGCGGUAAUACGAAGGGGGCUAGCGUUGCUCGGAAUCACUGGGCGUAAAGGGUGCGUAGGCGGGUCUUUAAGUCAGAGGUGAAAGCCUGGAGCUCAACUCCAGAACUGCCUUUGAUACUGGAGAUCUCGAGUUCGGGAGAGGUGAGUGGAACUGCGAGUGUAGAGGUGAAAUUCGUAGAUAUUCGCAAGAACACCAGUGGCGAAGGCGGCUCACUGGCCCGAUACUGACGCUGAGGCACGAAAGCGUGGGGAGCAAACAGGAUUAGAUACCCCGGUAGUCCCUGUCUCUUAUAC
This 301-nucleotide ribosomal RNA is filed under the name uncultured bacterium. RNAcentral describes it as "partial 16S ribosomal RNA". It matches the Rfam family "Bacterial small subunit ribosomal RNA", at positions 509 to 807 of the family's 1533-position model. The record is from RNAcentral.